RNAcentral lists this transfer RNA (69 nucleotides) under Mungos mungo (banded mongoose). Its description in RNAcentral is "tRNA-Arg". It matches the Rfam family "tRNA". Rfam says of the family: Transfer RNA (tRNA) molecules are approximately 80 nucleotides in length. Their secondary structure includes four short double-helical elements and three loops (D, anti-codon, and T loops). The record is from RNAcentral. Lineage: Eukaryota; Metazoa; Chordata; Mammalia; Carnivora; Herpestidae.
UGAUAAUUAGUUUAAACCAAAACAAAUGAUUUCGACUCAUUAGACUAUAGUUAGCCCUAUAAUUAUCAA